UUUCCGUUUAGGUGAACCUGCGGAAGGAUCAUUG
This 34-nucleotide ribosomal RNA is filed under the name Pulsatilla tongkangensis. RNAcentral describes it as "partial 18S ribosomal RNA". Lineage: Eukaryota; Viridiplantae; Streptophyta; Magnoliopsida; Ranunculales; Ranunculaceae. The record is from RNAcentral.